GAUUUCCAUUAUAUCAUUUAAAAGUUUAUUAGAGAAAAACCUUUGAAGUUUGAAUAUUGUCACUAUUAAAUGAUUGCAGUUAAGGGUUAAUUGAAAUUUCGUUGUUAUCAACAGUAAAAACAUGACCAUCUUGCUAAAUUUCAUAAAAAUCUAGUGAAGAAUUCAGGAAAUAUUGAGAUCAUAUCAGACAUUUGAACUUUAGCCAUUUUUAAAUGGUUACUUUUAGAGAUUUAAAUCAUACGGCACGUUGGGUGAAACUUUAAUAGAAAUUAAUAAGUACUUUUGAUAGUUGGUUAUUUUGGACCUAGUACUUUAAUAAAAAGUAAUAGAUUUAAGAACAACCAGUUGUCUAUUGAAAAUAUUAAAAAAUUUCAAUAUAAAAACAUCCAUAAAUGUCAACGUAUCUGAUCUUGGAAUCUAACACAUUAUUUUGCUACCUUUAAUGCUAGAACAUUUUUACAAAGUUUCAUAAAAAUCGCUUAUCAGUUCAGAAAUUAGUGUCUCACUAACUUCUGAACUAAUAAGCGGCAGUUCAGCUUCAGCACGGCGAUCUUAUAAACUUGUUUUUGAGAAAUGGACUAAGAAAAAAACGCGUACGCCUCUAUAAGUUAUGUAGAUGUACAGUAUAAAAUUUCAACUCUUGGAAUUGCAUUCUUAAUCGGUCUAUGAUAGUGUUGAACAUCGAUGUUAGUAAACAUCAGUUUUUGUGCAUUGUCAGCAACAAUUGUAUUGACAUAUUCUUAAAAGGCAGUAGCAUUCUGAACGCAAAACGAAGCAAAGAUGAUAGAAAAAUUUAUAUCAUUCGCUUCGUGUUGCACUGCGCCGCAGCCUGCCUAUAUUAUAGCCGAGUUAUUUCUCAUGUUUCAUGAAUUUGCCAAUAG
RNAcentral lists this long non-coding RNA (881 nucleotides) under Androctonus crassicauda. The record is from RNAcentral. Lineage: Eukaryota; Metazoa; Arthropoda; Arachnida; Scorpiones; Buthidae.